This 301-nucleotide ribosomal RNA is filed under the name uncultured bacterium. RNAcentral describes it as "partial 16S ribosomal RNA". It matches the Rfam family "Bacterial small subunit ribosomal RNA", at positions 509 to 808 of the family's 1533-position model. The record is from RNAcentral.
CAGCCGCCGCGGUAAUACGUAGGUGGCAAGCGUUGUCCGGAAUUAUUGGGCGUAAAGGGCUCGCAGGCGGUUUCUUAAGUCUGAUGUGAAAGCCCCCGGCUCAACCGGGGAGGGUCAUUGGAAACUGGGAAACUUGAGUGCAGAAGAGGAGAGUGAAUUCCACGUGUAGCGGUGAAAUGCGUAGAGAUGUGGAGGAACACCAGUGGCGAAGGCGACUCUCUGGUCUGUAACUGACGCUGAGGAGCGAAAGCGUGGGGAGCGAACAGGAUUAGAUACCCGUGUAGUCCCUGUCUCUUAUACC